RNAcentral lists this ribosomal RNA (301 nucleotides) under uncultured bacterium. RNAcentral's name for it is "partial 16S ribosomal RNA". It matches the Rfam family "Bacterial small subunit ribosomal RNA", at positions 509 to 809 of the family's 1533-position model. The record is from RNAcentral.
CAGUAGCCGCGGUAAUACGUAGGUGGCAAGCGUUGUCCGGAAUUAUUGGGCGUAAAGCGCGCGCAGGCGGAUAGGUCAGUCUGUCUUAAAAGUUCGGGGCUUAACCCCGUGAUGGGAUGGAAACUGCCAAUCUAGAGUAUCGGAGAGGAAAGUGGAAUUCCUAGUGUAGCGGUGAAAUGCGUAGAUAUUAGGAAGAACACCAGUGGCGAAGGCGACUUUCUGGACGAAAACUGACGCUGAGGCGCGAAAGCCAGGGGAGCGAACGGGAUUAGAUACCCCUGUAGUCCCUGUCUCUUAUACA